GCAAUUACAGGUACUACAACAACAACUACUAUGCCUCGAUACCAAGCAAGUAUGGGUCGGUUGUAUGAAUUCCCACUACUUGUACUUGAGCAAUUACAAGUAGAGUGAGUAAUUUACAAAGUGCAGAAAGUAGGUAAUUUUGUGUGUUCACAGUUCGAUUGUUCGUUUAUAACACAUGUAAUGAGGCAAAAGCAACUUGACCUGCCAAACAACUCAUAGCAGCAAAUGCAUCCUCUGCAGAAAUUGAAACUCUAGUCAUUACAAGAUCGGUAUUCAAGGAAGAACCAUGUUCAUAAACUUUCUCUUGGAAAAUGCUGACCACCAUUUGUUGGGUGUUCCGUUAGGCCUAUAAGCAACGCUUAAUAACCUUCCGCUAGUUUCCUCCCUUAUUUGCUUCAGAUAAUUCCUGAAUAGUUCUGCUUCUUUUUUAGAUUGGGCUGGAGAAAAUAAGCUUGGGAAUGGGAAACCUGCCUCUCCAGGUACAGGAACAUUUUCCAGACCUAGGUUGAUGAUAGCCUUGGUUCCUUCAGCUAAAGUUCGGCAGCCUUCAAGCCUCUUUAAGGCUAUAUUGAUAUACAAUGUCAAAUAGAUAAGUAGCUUGUCAGAUGAGCUUUUAAUAUCAAAG
This 625-nucleotide unclassified non-coding RNA is filed under the name Hevea brasiliensis (rubber tree). Lineage: Eukaryota; Viridiplantae; Streptophyta; Magnoliopsida; Malpighiales; Euphorbiaceae. The record is from RNAcentral.